GAUGAACGCUGGCGGCGUGCCUAAUACAUGCAAGUCGGACGGAUGUAGCAAUACAUUAGUGGCGAACGGGUGAGUAACACGUAGGUGACCUGCCCUAAAGAGGGGAAUACCACUUCGAAAGGAGUGACAAACCGCAUAAACUUAUAGAGAUCAGAAGGCUAUAAGGAAAAGAGCGAUCUACUUUAGGAGGGGCCUGCGGCCCAUCAGCUAGUUGGUAGAGGUAACGGCCUACCAAGGCGAAGACGGGUAGGGGACCUGAGAGGGUGAUCCCCCACAAUGGAACUGAAACACGGUCCAUACACCUGCGGGUGGCAGCAGUAGGGAAUAUUGCUUAAUGGGCGAAAGCCUGAAGCAGCAACGCCGCGUGGACGAAGAAGGCCUUCGGGUUGUAAAGUUCUUUUAUAUGGGAUGAGGAAGGACAGUACCAUAUGAAUAAGUCUCGGCUAACUACGUG
This 454-nucleotide ribosomal RNA is filed under the name uncultured bacterium. Its description in RNAcentral is "bacterial SSU rRNA". It matches the Rfam family "Bacterial small subunit ribosomal RNA", at positions 28 to 507 of the family's 1533-position model. The record is from RNAcentral.